This 279-nucleotide long non-coding RNA is filed under the name Mytilus galloprovincialis (Mediterranean mussel). The record is from RNAcentral. Lineage: Eukaryota; Metazoa; Mollusca; Bivalvia; Mytilida; Mytilidae.
UUGGUUGUAUUCGUCGAAAAUACAAAAACCUUUUAUUGCUAAUAUAAUUACAGAAAUCCGACAACUUGUAGAAAAUAAAACUUGGAGGUAUUGUCCAACUGACUGUAACCCUGCUGACUGUCUUAUGCGCGGGAUGUCUUCAUUGAAGUUUUUGAAUAAUGAAACUUGGUUCAACGGACCGAAAUGGCUUGCACAUGAAGAACAGUGGCCGCAGCGGGAUCGAAAUUCCGUUGCUAUGACAACAAUUACAGACAAUGAAAGUACAGAAAUAAACCGGCA